GUCCAGGGGCGGGAAUCGGACCCACGACCUUCCGCUUACCGGGCAGAUGCCAUGUCCACUAGGCUACCCUGGA
RNAcentral lists this transfer RNA (73 nucleotides) under Cordylochernes scorpioides. Its description in RNAcentral is "tRNA-Thr". The record is from RNAcentral. Lineage: Eukaryota; Metazoa; Arthropoda; Arachnida; Pseudoscorpiones; Chernetidae.